RNAcentral lists this ribosomal RNA (496 nucleotides) under uncultured bacterium. RNAcentral's name for it is "partial 16S ribosomal RNA". It matches the Rfam family "Bacterial small subunit ribosomal RNA", at positions 29 to 507 of the family's 1533-position model. The record is from RNAcentral.
AUGAACGCUGGCGGCGUGCCUAAUACAUGCAAGUCGAGCGAACAGACGAGGAGCUUGCUCCUCUGACGUUAGCGGCGGACGGGUGAGUAACACGUGGAUAACCUACCUAUAAGACUGGGAUAACUUCGGGAAACCGGAGCUAAUACCGGAUAAUAUAUUGAACCGCAUGGUUCAAUAGUGAAAGACGGUUUUGCUGUCACUUAUAGAUGGAUCCGCGCCGCAUUAGCUAGUUGGUAAGGUAACGGCUUACCAAGGCAACGAUGCGUAGCCGAUCUGAGAGGGUGAUCGGCCACACUGGAACUGAGACACGGUCCAGACUCCUACGGGAGGCAGCAGUAGGGAAUCUUCCGCAAUGGGCGAAAGCCUGACGGAGCAACGCCGCGUGAGUGAUGAAGGUCUUCGGAUCGUAAAACUCUGUUAUUAGGGAAGAACAAAUGUGUAAGUAACUAUGCACGUCUUGACGGUACCUAAUCAGAAAGCCACGGCUAACUACGUG